Long non-coding RNA from Acinonyx jubatus (cheetah), 367 nucleotides. RefSeq lists it as uncharacterized. Lineage: Eukaryota; Metazoa; Chordata; Mammalia; Carnivora; Felidae. The record is from RefSeq and is a predicted model, not a curated record. The transcript has 3 exons.
UUUAUUUAUUUUAAUAUAGAGACACCAAGUUGGCCACUUGAGAGAACAGCGUGCAGGGAGAUUUCUGCUAAUGUCCUGCUGGGUGAAGAAUGCCUUUGGUUGAAGGCUGGCAUUAACUCUGUGACAGGUGCAUGGUGAACAAUGGAUAAAGUACAUACGCUGAAUGAAAGAAUGAGCAUGCAAAUCACACAGACCUUCACAGGCAUUGUACAGGUUGUGCCUUGUAAAAGGGUCCCCCGCAACAGGGGCUGUGUCUCCAGGAACUUGAAGUUGACAGAGUGAUCCUUGAAUUUGGAGUCAGGAUGUCUGGGUUCCAACGCGGGGCUCUGCCGUUACUAGCUGCCUGCUGGCGGUGGGGUGAGACUCU